AGCUGAAUGGCGCAGCGGAAGCGCGCCGGGCUCAUACGAUUACGUAAUCGAAACCCGGAGGACGCAAGAUCGAAACUUGCUUCAGCUA
Non-coding RNA from Plenodomus tracheiphilus IPT5, 88 nucleotides. NCBI's taxonomy places the organism in Eukaryota, Fungi, Ascomycota, Dothideomycetes, Pleosporales, Leptosphaeriaceae. The record is from the annotation of a GenBank genome assembly.